GAAAGCAGGCGAGGUGGUUGCGGCCGAUCUCUUUGAGUGUCGGCUGAGGAAAGUCCGGGCUCCCUGAUGGCCAGGCUUGCUGGGUAACGCCCAGUGCGGGUGACCGUGAGGAGAGUGCCACAGAAACACACCGCCGAUGGCCGGUUCACCGGCACAGGCAAGGGUGCAAAGGUGCGGUAAGAGCGCACCAGCAGCAUCGAGAGGUGCUGGCUCGGUAAACCCCGGCUGGGAGCAAGGCCAAGGAACGACGGCUGGCCAUCGGCCCCGUUCCGCUUGAACGCGCCGCUCGAGGCCGUCGGCAACGGCGGUCCCAGAUAGAUAGCCACCCACCCUCUGCAGAUCAAACUCUGUGGUGGCGUGAACAGAACCCGGCUUAUGUCCUGCUUUCAACC
RNAcentral lists this RNase P RNA (392 nucleotides) under Synechococcus sp. HBA1120. Its description in RNAcentral is "RNase P RNA component class A". It matches the Rfam family "Bacterial RNase P class A". From Rfam's summary of the family: Ribonuclease P (RNase P) is a ubiquitous endoribonuclease, found in archaea, bacteria and eukarya as well as chloroplasts and mitochondria. Its best characterised activity is the generation of mature 5'-ends of tRNAs by cleaving the 5'-leader elements of precursor-tRNAs. The record is from RNAcentral. RNAcentral also lists the same sequence under 2 other names. Lineage: Bacteria; Bacillati; Cyanobacteriota; Cyanophyceae; Synechococcales; Synechococcaceae.